CCACUGAGAAAAGUACAUCUAAUAAAAUUGGAAUGAUAGAUUAGCAUGGUCCUUGCACAAGGAUGACAUGGAAUACUUGUUUUUUGUUCUUUU
Molecule: small nuclear RNA, 93 nt
Filed under: Canis lupus familiaris (dog)
Lineage: Eukaryota; Metazoa; Chordata; Mammalia; Carnivora; Canidae
Source: RNAcentral